RNAcentral lists this transfer-messenger RNA (372 nucleotides) under Streptomycetaceae. RNAcentral describes it as "Streptomyces_D bronchialis Standard tmRNA". It matches the Rfam family "transfer-messenger RNA". From Rfam's summary of the family: Bacterial tmRNA, also known as 10Sa RNA or SsrA, is named for its dual tRNA and mRNA-like properties. Its role is to liberate the mRNA from a stalled ribosome. RNAcentral also lists the same sequence under 1 other name. The record is from RNAcentral. Lineage: Bacteria; Bacillati; Actinomycetota; Actinomycetes; Kitasatosporales.
GGGGGUGAUCGGUUUCGACUGGGGAUGUCGAAACAGGGGAAGCGAGCCGAGGAACGCGGCAAUGAUCUCGUUAACCACGUGUCGCAAAAAAAUAAUCGCCAACUCCAAGCGCGAUUCCUUCGCCCUCGCUGCCUAAGUAGCGAGCUUCGAAGGUGUCAGACCGGGUGUGUUCCCGCCCCGGAUCCUGGCAUCAGCUAGGGGACUCACCGCUCGGCCCGGUCACGGGGCCGCUCGGGACAUCUCACAGUGACUGAGCCCGUCGGCAGCUUGUCUGCGUGACUGCCGGGGCUGAGAAAAGCACAGCAGACUGCGCUCGGAGAAGCCCUGAAUUGACUCCACAGGACCCGGGUUCGAUUCCCGGCACCUCCACCA